GUUUAGCCACGAAUGACAUGAAUUUACACGAAUUAAUUGAUGUAAAUAAUGUAAUUCGUGGCUUUUU
Molecule: small RNA, 67 nt
Filed under: Flavobacterium lacus
Lineage: Bacteria; Pseudomonadati; Bacteroidota; Flavobacteriia; Flavobacteriales; Flavobacteriaceae
Description: Flavo-1 RNA
Source: RNAcentral